CGGGUGGUAAUGCCGGAUGCUCCAGUUGAUCGCAUGGUCUUCUGGGAAAGCUUUCGCGGUAUGGGAUGGGGUCGCGUCCUAUCAGCUUGACGGCGGGGUAACGGCCCACCGUGGCUUCGACGGGUAGCCGGCCUGAGAGGGCGACCGGCCACAUUGGGACUGAGAUACGGCCCAGACUCCUACGGGAGGCAGCAGUGGGGAAUAUUGCACAAUGGGCGCAAGCCUGAUGCAGCGACGCCGCGUGAGGGAUGGAGGCCUUCGGGUUGUAAACCUCUUUUAUCGGGGAGCAAGCGAGAGUGAGUUUACCCGUUGAAUAAGCACCGGCUAACUACGUGCCAGCAGCCGCGGUAAUACGUAGGGUGCAAGCGUUAUCCGGAAUUAUUGGGCGUAAAGGGCUCGUAGGCGGUUCGUCGCGUCCGGUGUGAAAGUCCAUCGCUUAACGGUGGAUCCGCGCCGGGUACGGGCGGGCUUGAGUGCGGUAGGGGAGACUGGAAUUCCCGGUGUAACGGUGGAAUGUGUAGAUAUCGGAAAAAAAACACCA
RNAcentral lists this ribosomal RNA (541 nucleotides) under Bifidobacterium longum subsp. infantis. RNAcentral's name for it is "bacterial SSU rRNA". It matches the Rfam family "Bacterial small subunit ribosomal RNA", at positions 157 to 711 of the family's 1533-position model. The record is from RNAcentral. Lineage: Bacteria; Bacillati; Actinomycetota; Actinomycetes; Bifidobacteriales; Bifidobacteriaceae. RNAcentral also lists the same sequence under 1 other name.